GCCGCCCAGUCAGUAGGGAUAAUCUGACCCUCGGCUUGUAACCGAGUGGGCUCGGGUUCGAACCCCGAAUAAGGCA
This 76-nucleotide transfer RNA is filed under the name Trichonephila clavata. RNAcentral's name for it is "tRNA-Thr". Lineage: Eukaryota; Metazoa; Arthropoda; Arachnida; Araneae; Nephilidae. The record is from RNAcentral.